GAUGUGAAAGCCUUCGGCUUAACCGGAGAAGUGCAUCGGAAACUGGAUAACUUGAGUGCAGAAGAGGGUAGUGGAACUCCAUGUGUAGCGGUGGAAUGCGUAGAUAUAUGGAAGAACACCAGUGGCGAAGGCGGCUACCUGGUCUGCAACUGACGCUGAGACUCGAAAGCAUGGGUAGCGAACAGGAUUAGAUAC
RNAcentral lists this ribosomal RNA (195 nucleotides) under Limosilactobacillus fermentum. Its description in RNAcentral is "Lactobacillus fermentum partial 16S ribosomal RNA". It matches the Rfam family "Bacterial small subunit ribosomal RNA", at positions 591 to 785 of the family's 1533-position model. The record is from RNAcentral. Lineage: Bacteria; Bacillati; Bacillota; Bacilli; Lactobacillales; Lactobacillaceae.